RNAcentral lists this ribosomal RNA (451 nucleotides) under uncultured marine bacterium. RNAcentral describes it as "bacterial SSU rRNA". It matches the Rfam family "Bacterial small subunit ribosomal RNA", at positions 360 to 804 of the family's 1533-position model. The record is from RNAcentral.
AAUAUUGGUCAAUGGAGGCAACUCUGAUCCAGCAAUGCCGCGUGCAUGAAGAAGGCCUUAUGGUUGUAAAGCAGUUUCAAUAGAGAAAGAAAGCUUUCGGUUAAUGGCUAUGAGUCGUGACGUUAAGUACAGAAGAAGGUCCGGCUAACUCCAGCCAGCAGCCGCGGUAAUAGGGAGGGAGCGUUAUCUAAUAUCAAUUAGUGGGAAUAAAGCGUGGGUAGGCGAUUAUAUAAGUCGGAUAUUAAAGCACAGGGCUCAACCCUGGAAUUGCAUUCGAUACUGCAGAACUAGAGUACGGUAGAGGGAAGUGGAAUUUCCGGUGUAGCGGUGAAAUGCGUAGAUAUAGGAAGGAACACCAGUGGCGACGGCGACUUCAUGGGCCAAUACCGACGAGGAGGUGCGAAAGGGUGGGGAGCAAACAGGAUUAGAUACCCUGGUAGUCCCCGCCGUA